This 531-nucleotide long non-coding RNA is filed under the name Capsicum annuum. Its description in RNAcentral is "long non-coding RNA (CANN_LNC011701)". Lineage: Eukaryota; Viridiplantae; Streptophyta; Magnoliopsida; Solanales; Solanaceae. The record is from RNAcentral.
UGAAGGACAGGUGCAUACCAUUGUGGAUAAGCAGACGGAUGGGUAAACAAUUGUGCAUUAUUCAAAGGACAUUGAGGAAGUGGAAUGAAACUCCUUGGAUUUUGAAAAGAGGCACCUUGUUGCAGAUGAGUAAUUGGAUUUGAUAUGUAAGCUCGGGAUUGAGGCUGACAGUAUUGGUGAGUUGGACCUCUCAAACUCUGUUUUGGCCCUGGCACGACAAUAGGUGUGUUUUCCUUCUUCUUUCCUUCAGUUUCCCUGGAUUGAUUGCAAUAUCAUCCCAAAUGUUUCACAGAAUUCUUCUGCCCAUCAUGUUCCUCAAAUUUCGAUAUCUCAAAGCUUUUAAGAAGGCUGAUACUUGAAGACAUGUCCCAGUCUUUAUAUGAAACAUCUUCUUUACCCACAAGUCCCAGGAAACUUUCCAUAUCAUUUUCUACACUCUUCACUUUCCCCACCAUUUUCUCUGAUUUUUCUAGUAUGCUAGGCUUCUUGGUAAGAAAUUUUAGCGUUCCUCUUAACUUAACUGUAGGCUCA